This 406-nucleotide ribosomal RNA is filed under the name uncultured bacterium. RNAcentral's name for it is "partial 16S ribosomal RNA". It matches the Rfam family "Bacterial small subunit ribosomal RNA", at positions 30 to 526 of the family's 1533-position model. The record is from RNAcentral.
AUUGAACGCUGGCGGCAGGCCUAACACAUGCAAGUCGGACGAGUGGCGAACGGGUGAGUAACGCAUCGGAACGUACCGAGUAAAGGGGGAUAACUGCCUGAAACGACAGCUAAUACCGCAUACUAUCCGAUCGGCCGCUUUCUGAUUAGCUGGUUGGUGUGGUAAAGGCCCACCAAGGCGACGAUCACUAGCGGGUCUGAGAGGAUGACCCGCCACACUGGGACUGAGACACGGCCCAGACUCCUACGGGAGGCAGCAGUGGGGAAUUUUGGACAAUGGGCGCAAGCCUGAUCCAGCCAUGCCGCGUGUCUGAAGAAGGCCUUCGGGUUGUAAAGGACUUUUGUCAGGGAGGCGGUACCUGAAGAAUAAGCACCGGCUAACUACGUGCCAGCAGCCGCGGUAAUAC